AUUGAACGCUGGCGGCAGGCCUAACACAUGCAAGUCGAGCGAGUGGCGGACGGGUGAGUAAUGUCUGGGAAACUGCCUGCAGGAGGGGGAUAACUACUGGAAACGGUAGCUAAUACCGCAUACCAUCAGAUGUGCCCAGAUGGGAUUAGCUAGUAGGUGGGGUAAUGGCUCACCUGGGCGACGAUCCCUAGCUGGUCUGAGAGGAUGACGAGCCACACUGGAACUGAGACACGGUCCAGCCUCCUACGGGAGGCAGCAGAGGGGACUAUUGCACAAUGGGGGAAAGCCUGACGCAGCCAUGCCGCGUGUGUGAAGAGGGCGUUCGGUUUGUAAAGCACUUUCAUCGGGGAGGCGGUACCCGCAGAAGAAGCACCGGCUAACUCCGUGCCAGCAGCCGCGGUAAUAC
Molecule: ribosomal RNA, 406 nt
Filed under: uncultured bacterium
Lineage: Bacteria
Description: partial 16S ribosomal RNA
Rfam family: Bacterial small subunit ribosomal RNA
Source: RNAcentral